This 441-nucleotide ribosomal RNA is filed under the name uncultured bacterium. Its description in RNAcentral is "partial 16S ribosomal RNA". It matches the Rfam family "Bacterial small subunit ribosomal RNA", at positions 339 to 795 of the family's 1533-position model. The record is from RNAcentral.
CUACGGGGCGCUGCAGUCACGAAUCUUCCACAAUGGCCGAAAGGCUGAUGGAGCAAUGCCGCGUGCAGGAAGAAGCUUUUCGGAGUGUAAACUGCUUUUAUUAGGGACGAAUCCAUGACGGUACCUAAUGAAUAAGGGGCUGCUAACCUCGUGCCAGCAGCAGCGGUAAUACGAGGGCCCCAAGCGUUAUCCGGAUUUAUUGGGCGUAAAGGGUCCGUAGGCGGUUUGGCGCAUCUUCUGUUAAAUCUCCCGGCUCAACCGGGAAACCGCGGAAGAGAUGGCUAAACUAGAGGUCGGUAGAGGCAAGCGGAAUUGCUGGUGUAGGGGUUAAAUCCGUUAAUAUCAGCAGGAACACCAAAUGCGAAGGCAGCUUGCUAGAACGAACCUGACGCUCAGGGACGAAAGCGUGGGGAGCGAAUGGGAUUAGAUACCCCUGUAGUC